Molecule: long non-coding RNA, 517 nt
Organism: Microtus oregoni (creeping vole)
Lineage: Eukaryota; Metazoa; Chordata; Mammalia; Rodentia; Cricetidae
Exons: 2
Source: RefSeq, a predicted model, not a curated record
GUGGCCCAGGUGAUGGAGAUUUCUUCCCGUGGUCCUCGGAGGGAUCGGGCCGCGGGAGGAGGCUCCCCUGAAAUUAGGGACGGUAAUUUGAAACAGAUCCAGGCUGAGUGCUGAUAGCGCCGCCACGUGCGGGACGAUGUGCGUGAUAAACCCCGAGCGCCCAAUCCGACCAGAGGCCUGCAGGGGUCUGCGUUAGCACAGCCUUAACAAUGCGGUUUAAUUGUGGUCGGAUUGCAUUGAGCCUUGGUCCCCGAUGUCACGCUAAAUCAGAAGCCAGGGUGCAGUGAUUAGUGGGAAACACUGGAACCUACCAAUCAGGAACUCAAAGGGAGGACAAUGAAGAAGAUUCAAAGAAACCAGUUCCCGUUGCCCUAAUCUAACAAGCUUCAAUGUAAAAGUACACUGAAACUUCACUGCUAUGCAACAAAGCACAGCACAGUGGGACAAAUUUGAGGUCAGAGUUCUUGUGUUUAAAAAUAUGUGGACAGUUCAUUAAAGCUAUUGACCUGUCUCAAAA